Molecule: ribosomal RNA, 254 nt
Filed under: uncultured bacterium
Lineage: Bacteria
Description: partial 16S ribosomal RNA
Rfam family: Bacterial small subunit ribosomal RNA
Source: RNAcentral
CACGUAGGGUGCGAGCGUUGUCCGGAAUUAUUGGGCGUAAAGAGCUCGUAGGCGGUGUGUCGCGUCGGCCGUGAAAACCUGCAGCUUAACUGUGGGCUUGCGGUCGAUACGGGCAUCACUGGAGUUCGGCAGGGGAGACUGGAAUUCCUGGUGUAGCGGUGAAAUGCGCAGAUAUCAGGUGGAACACCGGUGGCGAAGGCGGGGUCCUGGGCCAGUACUGACGCUGAGGAGCGAAAGCGUGGGGAGCAAACAGG